This is a long non-coding RNA of Solanum pennellii, 1269 nucleotides long. RefSeq lists it as uncharacterized. NCBI's taxonomy places the organism in Eukaryota, Viridiplantae, Streptophyta, Magnoliopsida, Solanales, Solanaceae. The transcript has 2 exons. The record is from RefSeq and is a predicted model, not a curated record.
GGCCACGAUGCUAAGCCCGUCAUUUGAGCCCAUUUGGUGUUUUUAUUUAAGUUAUUAAGUAGGUCAAAAUAUGGGGGAGAAUUAAUUUUUCAAAAAAAAAAAAGAAAAGAGGAAACCCUCCCUCUCUCCCCUGCCAGCCGCCUCUCACUCUUCUCCCUUAGCUGCCAGCCCCUCUCCCUUCUCCCCUCCAUCCCUUAGUCGUCACCUCUCCUCCCUUCUUCCCCUUUCCCCUUCCGCUUCCCCUCCCCUUUGUCCCUUCCCGUUUCUCUCCCCCUUUCAUUCCAACACCUCCCCUCCCUCUUCUCUUGUCCCUUCCCUCUCCUUGCAGCCCCUUCUCUACCUCCCUUUUCCCGGUGAAAUCCAUCAGGACACCCAGCAGCAGCCGAAACAACAGCAGGACAGCAACCCCACCAGCAGCAACUCCGACGAGAGCAGCUCCAGCAGUCGAGUCCAUCAGCAACAACAACUCCAACCAGCAGCGGCCAGAAAUCGACAACACAGCAGGCGAGGCGGGCAGCAGCUUGUAACAGCCGGCGAAGACAGCUGCGAGGCAGCGAGCCACCGGCAAUAGCAGUCUGGUGAGGAGCGGAAGCACCAAACGGCGGAGGCUGGACUUUCUUCCCUUCUUUCUUUAUCCUCUUCGUCCAGCAGCUCGAGGAGACACCACCAGCAACCACUCAUCCCCGGCGAAGCUCCAAAAUAUUGACGAACAGGGAACAGCUGAUCAGGAAGGAUGUCCAGCAUAAAAACACAGAAGGCAGCUGGAUAAUAGUGCAAACUGAUGGAGAAAAUCGGAGAAAUUUGACCAAUAGUGGAACUAUGGAAGGGAUCGACGGACCGUACUGGAAAACCGUUAAUUUGAUCAAUAAUAGUUCCAGUAACUGAAGUUGGAGAAAUUCAAAGGAUGGAGUGACGGAGGGCAUCAAUGGACUGUAGGUGUAUCGAUGGACCGUGUUGUUGGUUCGUUGAUUGAUUCAGAGAAGUUUCAAUAUGAAGGAGAUUAAAAAUUCUAAGUCUUGACUAACAGAGGCAGUUGACGGACCAUCAUUUCAUCGACGCUCAGUCUUUAGGAAUCAUCGAUCAAUGCCGCAUUUUGGACAAACUUUCCUUAUUUCAAUUCCUUUUAAUUUAGGACAAUAUUUUCUAUAAAUAGGGAUUAAAACCUCAUUUUGGGUUUAGAUAUUGUUAGUAUUGUUCUUGUUUUUGCUUAGAGAUUGGUUUUUGCAAACUUUGGCAAUAAUUCAAUUUCCGUUUUGGUUUGAAGAUUUA